This is a long non-coding RNA of Phasianus colchicus (ring-necked pheasant), 743 nucleotides long. RefSeq lists it as uncharacterized. NCBI's taxonomy places the organism in Eukaryota, Metazoa, Chordata, Aves, Galliformes, Phasianidae. The record is from RefSeq and is a predicted model, not a curated record.
AUGAAGUCCAGUUCUUGUCUCACUUUGAAGAUCUAUCAUCUAACAGAAGCCUCCUUUGCUCUCCACCAGCUGGCAGCAAACCCCUCAGCUUGGUGGCUACUGAGAGAAGUAAGAAACCAUUUCUCCUGAUAGAUGCAUAACCGCGGAUGACGUGGGUGUAAAACUGGGCACAAGUGAAGGAUUUGUCAGCGGACACACAGGGCUUGGAGGGAAAGCCUGGAGACACAUGGAUCGACUUCUAGCUGUGCCCUCAGAACUGCAGUGUUGCAAGAGUUCUCUACAGAGAGCGCAGGAGUGUUAAGGAAAAACCCACGAGCUGUGAAGCAUCAGGGCUGCCAGGAAAUGGCUGAUUGUGGAGCAUUUCAGAUGUCUCUGGUGAAACACAGAGCCCAGAGGUGGAUUGCCCUGAUCACCCAGUGGGCUCGUGGCCAAACUGAAGCAAGGAUCCAAGCCCCCCAAGCCCCAGGCAGUGGAUUGUAUCUCAAGCUGAAAGAUUUCUAGGGGGAAGAUGGAUUCAUCUCUGGUUCUUCAAACAGAUUUUGCUUCUGAUUUACACGCUGUCUUUCCUCACCAGUAACAAUGGACUCAGGCCCUUCUGCUCUCAUUACCAUUGCAGAUUAGCAAACAUGUUAGAAAAGAGUCUGGUGUCAAGAUGUUUGUUGAGGUUGGUGGUUUGGUCAGAUGGGAAUAAGAGAAGUAAAUUCUCCAGGGGAGGAUGUUUGUAGUCCCAGUUCUUUCUUCUG